UGAAUUAAAUAUUUCUAAUUUCAAUAAUAAAUAUAUAUUUAUUUAAUAUAAAUAUUUAAAUUAAAUUAAAUUAAAUUACAUUAAAUUAAAUUAAAUUAAAUUAAAUACUGAUCUCUAACCAAAAAGUAUUUUUCAUUAUUUUAUUAUUUUAUUUAUUUAUUAUUAUUAUUAUUAUUAUUAUUAUUAUUAUUAUUAUUAUUAUUAUUAUUUAUUUAUUUUAUUUUUUUUUGUAUGUUUUUCAUACCUCAAAUGUCAGUAAACCAACAAAGCAACGGCUGACUGUGUGAAUUAUGUUCAUGUAUAUUUUUAAGACACCACAGUGGUGUAACUGUAGAUGGCCGCCUCACUCAGCUUACAUAACACAGUUCAUCUGGGCUUUGAUGUGCUUGUGUCCCUGAGCAGCAGUUACAAAACCUCGACUUCAGAAGUCAUGACCGUGUUAACUGACAGUGGUUUAGGUCGUUAGCUUCUGAUGUGCUCGCCUGUUCAAACCCAGCUCAAACUAACCGCAACAUCUUGCGUGGUGGUUAUGGAUCUGCUCAGGGUGGAAGUGGGUGAGGAAGACCGUGACUGCAGGGCUGGGCUUAUCAACAACCAGGAGCAACAGUAAGCCACACUGCACCUCCCCGUGCCAACCAACCGCCGCUGUCUGGCAGGAUUUUACCAACUUGUUCGGUCUGCCUGAAAACAGCACACAAGCCCUCUCUGCUUCUCCAGUCGUCUCUCCAGGGGCCUCCAGCCUUCUUAAAAAGACCUGCUGACAGUCGACACGUGUGGCAACACAACUCAGACACGACAUUUCCCAGCACCCCUCCUGAUCCAUUAACUACAGCCAUCCUGAAGUGCACGGCUCUUUAAUGCUCAGAGCUUGACUUAUGAGCUGUAGGUAGCAAUAAUAUUAAAGGUGAAUGAAGUUGUGUUGAAGUUGGACUCAGGCCCACAUGGACAAACUCAGACUCUGAGCGCAUUUGUUGAACUUGGCUCUUCUAGCAGCAGCAUCCAGUGAGAGUUCAACACGUUACGUGUUUUGUACUUUACACUGGUGUAGAAAUAAUUUGGCUGGUGAAUUUCACACCUUAUUACAAAGAAACAGCAAGUAACCCAUUAAAUUACACAUGAAAUGUUAAAAGUUAAAUGUACUCCAAAAAUCGUUUUAUUUAGAACAUAGAAAUUAUUUUUUUACAGUGAAUGUGCCAUUCCCUAAAUUGUUGUGCCACUUUCACAUUUUAAUAAAAAAAAAAAAAACUGUUAAGCAGCUUAACAACUCAGCUUAACUUAAGAUACUAAACAAAAGAAAUCGUUUGUCAAGACAAAUGAUAUUUUGGCUUUAGAAAGUUGAGUAAUUGAAGUAUUUUGGAAAUAUUUACAUUUGAAGAAUUCAAGAUUUCAGCUAUUUUAAUUUUGACGCUGUUUUAAAAGUUAGCAUGGUUUAUAAUGUUAAGAUGUUUUAGCAUGACUUAGCACAUUAUUAACAUGUUUAUGCUAAAAUUAGCAUGCCAUGUUUAACACAUUGUUAGCAUGUUCCUACCAUGUUUACGUUUUCUAUCAUUUUCAGCAUGUUUCUAACACAUUUUUUGCAGUGCUUCUAAUGUUUUCUAACCUGUUGUAGCACAUUCUUAGCAUGUUUUAGUAUGCUUAGCAUGCUAAAAAUGUUGCUAGCAUGUUUAGCACAUUGAUAGCAUGAUCCUACCAUGUUUACAUGUUUUCAAUCAUUUUCAGCAUGUUGGUAGCACAUUUUCAGUGUUUCAGGCAUGUUUACUCAUGUUGUAGCACACUGUUAGCAUGUUUUCAUUAUGCUUAGUAUGUUAAAAUGUUGCUAACAGGUUUAUAACAUUGUUAGCAUCUUCCUACCAUGUUUGCAUGUUUUCUAUCAUUUUCAGAAUGUUGCUAGCACAUUUUCACACCUUUAUGCUUAGUAUGUUAAAAAAAUGUUGCUAACAGGUUUAUAACAUUUAUUAGCAUCUUCCUACCAUGUUUACAUGUUUUCUAGUAUUUUGAGCAUGUUUCUAGCAUAUUUUUUGCAGUGCUUCUAAUGAUUUCGAAUCUAUUGUAGCACAUUCUUAGCAUGUUUUAAUAUGCUUAGCAUGCUAAAAAUGUUGAUGGCAUGUUAAGCACAUUGUUAGCAGGAUCCUACCAUGUUUACAUGUUUUCUAUCAUUUUCAGCAUGUUGGUAGCACAUUUUCAGUGUUUCAGGCAUGUUUGCUAAUGUUGUAGCACAUUGUUAGCAUGUUUUCAGUAUGCUUAGUAUGUUAAAAAUGUUGCUAACAGGUUUAUAACAUUGUUCGCAUCUUCCUACCAUGUUUACAUGUUUUCUAGUAUUUUCAACAUGUUUCUAGCACAUUUUUUUUGCAGUGCUUUUAAUUAUUUCUAUUCUGUUGUAGCACAUUCUUAGCAUGUUUUAGUAUGCUUAGCAUGCUAAAAAUGUUGCUAGCAUGUUUAUAACAUUGUUAGCAUCUUCCUACCAUGUUUACAUUUUCUAUCAUUUUCAGCAUGUUACACAUUUUUGCAGUGCUUCUAAUGUUUUCUAACCUGUUUUAGCUCAUUGCUCAAGUUUUUAGCAUGCUUAGCAUGCUAAAAAUGUUGCACGCAUGUUUAGCACAUUAUUAGCAUUAUCCUACCAUGUUUACGUUUUCUAUCAUUUUCAGCAUAUUGCUAGCACAUUUUUGAAUAGUUUCUAAUGUUUUCUAACCUGUUUUAGCACAUUGUUUAAGUAUGCUUAGUAUGUUAAAAUUGUUGCAAUGUUGUUAGCAUCUUCCUGCCAUGUGUACAUGUUUUCUAUCAUUGUGAGAAUGUUGCUAGCACAUUUUCGCUUUAUUUCUAACAUAUUUUCUAACAUGUUUUAGCAUAUUCUUAGCAUGAUUCCAGUAUGUUUAGCAUGUGGCUAACACAUUUAGCACAUUGUUAGCAUGUUACUUAUAUUUUACAUACAAGUUUCAAUAGAAAUGAAAUUAGUAGAUUUUAGUUUACCAUAAAUGCUUGUUAUAUCAGAAUUUGACCCGAAAGAGAAAGCUGGAUAUUAAUGUUAGGUGAAAUGUGCAUGUUUUAGCAUGUUGCAAGCAUGUUUGAUAUGUUAUCAUGUUGCUAACAAUUUCUAGCAUGUUUCAUAAUGUUGUUAUAGUCAUUGUCUUUAUUGUAUGUGGUUAAUUUAAAUUAAUUUGUACAAUCUUAUUAAUAUGUUUUGAUAU
Long non-coding RNA from Cyprinus carpio carpio, 3185 nucleotides. The record is from Ensembl. NCBI's taxonomy places the organism in Eukaryota, Metazoa, Chordata, Actinopteri, Cypriniformes, Cyprinidae.